GACGAACCGUGCGAACGUUGUUCGGAAUCACUGGGCUUAAAGGGCGCGUAGGCGGCUUGUCAAGUCGGGGGUGAAAUCCGGCAGCUUAACUGUCGAAGUGCCUUCGAUACUGGCAAGCUCGAGGGAGGUAGGGGUCUGUGGAACUUCUGGUGGAGCGGUGAAAUGCGUUGAUAUCAGAAGGAACGCCGGUGGCGAAAGCGACGGACUGGAUCUCUUCUGACGCUGAGGCGCGAAAGCUAGGGGAGCAAACGGG
RNAcentral lists this ribosomal RNA (253 nucleotides) under uncultured bacterium. RNAcentral describes it as "partial 16S ribosomal RNA". It matches the Rfam family "Bacterial small subunit ribosomal RNA", at positions 524 to 776 of the family's 1533-position model. The record is from RNAcentral.